UGCAUAUGCCUGUCUCUGUACUU
This 23-nucleotide non-coding RNA is filed under the name Cricetulus griseus (Chinese hamster). The record is from RNAcentral. Lineage: Eukaryota; Metazoa; Chordata; Mammalia; Rodentia; Cricetidae.